GUAAACAAUAAUAGUUUAGAUUUGUCCAUGCAAAUAAUCCAUAAUCAAUCCAUAAAUCAAAAUUGGGGUGAGUUUAUUAUGAGCCAGAUCUCAGGACUAGCUCGGGCUUUCCUUUCCUAAGGAAGGAAGGACACCAAAGAGAUGGGGUGUACAGAGUGGUUAUAUACCAUCUUGGAACAAAGAACAUACAUUACAUACGAUAGGAGUGUCCCUUUUACAACAGUCAUGAGAUUGCUUUGCUGGCACAGCAGAUCGGUCAACACAGCAAGUGGGUGGUCACAGGCCACCAGCACAGCAUGGCCACUAACAGAGUGAUGUAGACCCAUGCCUGGGAACUGAACCCACGCUGCCGAAGCAGAGCAUGUUGGACUUAACCACUAGGCUACUGGGGCUGGCCCAAGACUGCAAGUAUGGGGUUCAGAGAGCUUUCAGGUUGGUGAACACAUCCACACCAGGAGGGUGACACACCCCAACUCCAUGGAGACAGAAGCUCCUGCACUUGGGACCCUCCCAGACCUCACCAUUUCUACCUCUUCAUCUGGCUGUUCAUCUGUAU
RNAcentral lists this long non-coding RNA (556 nucleotides) under Equus caballus (horse). RNAcentral's name for it is "lncRNA (ENSECAG00000055767.1)". The record is from RNAcentral. Lineage: Eukaryota; Metazoa; Chordata; Mammalia; Perissodactyla; Equidae.